UACGAAGGGGGCUAGAGAUGUUCGGCUUUACUGGGCGUAAAGCGCAUGUCGGCGGGUCGUUAAGUUGGGGGUGAAAUCCCGAGGCUCAACCUCGGAACUGCCUUCAAAACUGGCGACCUGGAGCAAGAUAGAGGCAAGUGGAAUUGCGAGUGUAGAGGUGAAAUUCGUAGAUAUUCGCAGGAACACCAGUGGCGAAGGCGACUUGCUGGAUCUUUGCUGACGCUGAGAUGCGAAAGCGUGGGGAGCAAACAGG
This 253-nucleotide ribosomal RNA is filed under the name uncultured bacterium. RNAcentral describes it as "partial 16S ribosomal RNA". It matches the Rfam family "Bacterial small subunit ribosomal RNA", at positions 524 to 776 of the family's 1533-position model. The record is from RNAcentral.